GCUAUCGACAGGCUUAACACAUGCAAGUCGAGGGGCAGCACAGGUAGCAAUACCGGGUGGCGACCGGCGCACGGGUGAGUAACGCGUAUGCAACUUACCUAUCAGAGGGGGAUAACCCGGCGAAAGUCGGACUAAUACCGCAUGAAGCAGGGGCCCCGCAUGGGGAUAUUUGCUAAAGAUUCAUCGCUGAUAGAUAGGCAUGCGUUCCAUUAGGCAGUUGGCGGGGUAACGGCCCACCAAGCCGACGAUGGAUAGGGGUUCUGAGAGGAAGGUCCCCCACAUUGGUACUGAGACACGGACCAAACUCCUACGGGAGGCAGCAGUGAGGAAUAUUGGUCAAUGGCCGAGAGGCUGAACCAGCCAAGUCGCGUGAGGGAUGAAGGUUCUAUGGAUCGUAAACCUCUUUUAUAAGGGAAUAAAGUGCGGGACGUGUCCCGUUUUGUAUGUACCUUAUGAAUAAGGAUCGGCUAACUCCGUGCCAGCAGCCGCGGUAAUACGGAGGAUCCGAGCGUUAUCCGGAUUUAUUGGGUUUAAAGGGUGCGUAGGCGGCCUUUUAAGUCAGCGGUGAAAGUCUGUGGCUCAACCAUAGAAUUGCCGUUGAAACUGGGGGGCUUGAGUAUGUUUGAGGCAGGCGGAAUGCGUGGUGUAGCGGUGAAAUGCAUAGAUAUCACGCAGAACCCCGAUUGCGAAGGCAGCCUGCCAAGCCAUGACUGACGCUGAUGCACGAAAGCGUGGGGAUCAAACAGGAUUAGAUACCCUGGUAGUCCACGCAGUAAACGAUGAUCACUAGCUGUUUGCGAUACACUGUAAGCGGCACAGCGAAAGCGUUAAGUGAUCCACCUGGGGAGUACGCCGGCAACGGUGAAACUCAAAGGAAUUGACGGGGGCCCGCACAAGCGGAGGAACAUGUGGUUUAAUUCGAUGAUACGCGAGGAACCUUACCCGGGUUUGAACGCAUUCGGACCGAGGUGGAAACACCUUUUCUAGCAAUAGCCGUUUGCGAGGUGCUGCAUGGUUGUCGUCAGCUCGUGCCGUGAGGUGUCGGCUUAAGUGCCAUAACGAGCGCAACCCUUACCACUAGUUACUAACAGGUAAAGCUGAGGACUCUGGUGGGACUGCCAGCGUAAGCUGCGAGGAAGGCGGGGAUGACGUCAAAUCAGCACGGCCCUUACAUCCGGGGCGACACACGUGUUACAAUGGCGUGGACAAAGGGAAGCCACCUGGCGACAGGGAGCGAAUCCCCAAACCACGUCUCAGUUCGGAUCGGAGUCUGCAACCCGACUCCGUGAAGCUGGAUUCGCUAGUAAUCGCGCAUCAGCCAUGGCGCGGUGAAUACGUUCCCGGGCCUUGUACACACCGCCCGUCAAGCCAUGGGAGCCGGGGGUACCUGAAGUCCGUAACCGCGAGGAUCGGCCUAGGGUAAAACUGGUGACU
RNAcentral lists this ribosomal RNA (1434 nucleotides) under uncultured organism. RNAcentral describes it as "SSU rRNA". It matches the Rfam family "Bacterial small subunit ribosomal RNA". The record is from RNAcentral.